This 73-nucleotide transfer RNA is filed under the name Candidatus Aenigmatarchaeota archaeon. RNAcentral's name for it is "tRNA-Gln". It matches the Rfam family "tRNA". Rfam says of the family: Transfer RNA (tRNA) molecules are approximately 80 nucleotides in length. Their secondary structure includes four short double-helical elements and three loops (D, anti-codon, and T loops). The record is from RNAcentral. Lineage: Archaea; Nanobdellati; Candidatus Aenigmatarchaeota.
AGCCCGGUAGUGUAGCGGUCAAGCACAGUGGGCUUUGGACCCAUUAACUCAGGUUCGAAUCCUGACCGGGCUA